CUAAUUGGAGAAGACACUUUUGAACAUGAUUAAGUUGUGUAACGUAUUUUCGGAAUAGACGUUAUGCUACAUCCAUAAGGAGGAUGUUUCUAUAUAUACUAGGCAUAUCAAGUUUAUGCAUGAAAUUCAGUCUCUCCUGUAGCGUCCAUGUCUGCUUGACAUGGGAAGCUAAAAAAGAGAACAUAACUUUCAAAUGUAAAGUUAGCAAGUUACUAUUUAAAGUUUACUUUCUUAAUCCGAAAAACGAAGAACAAGGAUACUGUAUAAGCCCUAUACCAGUCCCAGAGUGUUAUUCGUCACAUAAUGUUAUUACGCAGGAUCGACAAACAAACACAACUGUCCUUGUAAUACAAAGGCACGUAGAUAACAAACUCAAUGGACCUUGGAAAUGUUAUCAUGGUACAAACGUAGAUGCGGCAAUUAUUAAUGUUACAGUCAUAGAAAAAGUAACAUUCAAGACAGUAUUUAAGAAUGAUAAUUGUGGUGAACAACAUAUGGCAUGGACAUUCAUCGGAGUUAUGAUAGGCGUAGUUUUAAUCUUUAUUUUGGGGGCAGUUCUCAAAGGAUG
Molecule: long non-coding RNA, 568 nt
Organism: Mytilus californianus (California mussel)
Lineage: Eukaryota; Metazoa; Mollusca; Bivalvia; Mytilida; Mytilidae
Exons: 4
Source: RefSeq, a predicted model, not a curated record